This 497-nucleotide ribosomal RNA is filed under the name uncultured bacterium. Its description in RNAcentral is "partial 16S ribosomal RNA". It matches the Rfam family "Bacterial small subunit ribosomal RNA", at positions 28 to 507 of the family's 1533-position model. The record is from RNAcentral.
GAUGAACGCUGGCGGCGUGCCUAAUACAUGCAAGUCGAGCGAACAGACGAGGAGCUUGCUCCUCUGACGUUAGCGGCGGACGGGUGAGUAACACGUGGAUAACCUACCUAUAAGACUGGGAUAACUUCGGGAAACCGGAGCUAAUACCGGAUAAUAUAUUGAACCGCAUGGUUCAAUAGUGAAAGACGGUUUUGCUGUCACUUAUAGAUGGAUCCGCGCCGCAUUAGCUAGUUGGUAAGGUAACGGCUUAUCAAGGCAACGAUGCGUAGCCGACCUGAGAGGGUGAUAGGCCACACUGGAACUGAGACACGGUCCAGACUCCUACGGGAGGCAGCAGUAGGGAAUCUUCCGCAAUGGGCGAAAGCCUGACGGAGCAACGCCGCGUGAGUGAUGAAGGUCUUCGGAUCGUAAAACUCUGUUAUUAGGGAAGAACAAAUGUGUAAGUAACUAUGCACGUCUUGACGGUACCUAAUCAGAAAGCCACGGCUAACUACGUG